RNAcentral lists this long non-coding RNA (659 nucleotides) under Medicago truncatula (barrel medic). RNAcentral describes it as "long non-coding RNA (MTRU_LNC008862)". The record is from RNAcentral. Lineage: Eukaryota; Viridiplantae; Streptophyta; Magnoliopsida; Fabales; Fabaceae.
UGGAGACAGGCUGAUGAGCAACUGCAGCUUUUAGCAUUUUCUCAUUGCGAGCAGGUACACUUUCGUAGCCGCUUAUGGUUACAGCAUUGUUUUUAGCUUUGGACUUGUUACAGUUACCGUCUCUUCCUUUAUAAGGAUAUUCUUUAGCAGUGGCUAUCCCUCCAUGUUUUUUGAUGUAGUUGAAUGCUAUGUACAUGUCGCCACCUUCGCAGCCUUCAUUCCCACUUUUAAUAUCACAAUCUAUCAACUGUUGUUCCGAUAGAGAAACUAAAUUUUCUGUUUUGAUCUUGUUGAUGCCUUCUACAGCUGCCACUGCUGAGAAUGCCCAACAACUUCCUGCAUCAAGUUUGACACCAUCAUAUCAGCACAAAACAUAAAUUUCAAAAAUGUUUAAGCGUGCUCUUUAGCUCGCUACUUAGCAAUAGAUAAACUUCAGAAGACUUCAAAUACAUUUACUUGUUAGGUAGUAAUUCCUCAAGGUAAGUAACUAUUUUCUUUAUAGAUAUAACUAUAUUCUUUAUAGAUAUAACUAUAAGACUAAUUUAUCCUGUCAUGUUCAUAUCACAAACACUUCAGAUAAAGUUCGUAUAGACUUAUCGUUUAGUUGUGCAUGGAACUACUAGAUGUGUGUAUAUUAUAUCAUAGCAUACUAGUAACUA